GGGCAACCACUGACCUAUUCUUCAUCUGUAUAAUUCUGUCAUUUCAACAAUGUUAUAGAAGUGGAGUUAUAAAGUAUACAACCUUUCGAAAUUGGCUUUUUUUACUCAGCAUAAUGGCCGCGAGAUCCCUUCAUGCAUCCACAGUUUGUUGCACGUAUCGUGUUGUUCCUUUUCAUUGUUGAGUAGUAGUCCAUAGUAUGGGUGAGCCACAGUAUAUCCAUUCACUUUUCAUAGGACAUUUGGAUUGUUUCCACUUGUCAGCUAUACAAAUAGAGCUACUACUAUAAACAUUCAUGUAUGGAUUUCUUAUGUGGAUGUGUGUUUUCAUUUCUCUAGGAUACAUACCCAGGAGUAUCAUUGCCAAGUCUUAUGGCUGGGGAAUCAGUAGCAAUGUUAAUGAGUGAAAGAAAAGAAUGCUAGAAACAGCCGCGGGCUGACAUCAAAGAAAUGAACUUCAGCCCUGUGAUUGUCAUGUGGAAGGCCUGGAAAUACACGCGAACAUCUGUGAAAUCAAAUCAAAACUCAGACAGGCUUUUGGCCUCCCUACUCCAUGUUUCCAGAUAUGAUUUGGAUGCGCAGUUCCUUAACAAAAUAAAAAUGAAGGACCAUGU
Molecule: long non-coding RNA, 611 nt
Organism: Herpailurus yagouaroundi (jaguarundi)
Lineage: Eukaryota; Metazoa; Chordata; Mammalia; Carnivora; Felidae
Exons: 2
Source: RefSeq, a predicted model, not a curated record